This 335-nucleotide transfer-messenger RNA is filed under the name Bacillota bacterium. Its description in RNAcentral is "partial transfer-messenger RNA". It matches the Rfam family "transfer-messenger RNA". From Rfam's summary of the family: Bacterial tmRNA, also known as 10Sa RNA or SsrA, is named for its dual tRNA and mRNA-like properties. Its role is to liberate the mRNA from a stalled ribosome. The record is from RNAcentral. Lineage: Bacteria; Bacillati; Bacillota.
GAUAUGUUUCUAUCUAACUGCAAGUGGUGUGCUAUCCCUUAAUUAGCAACCAGUUUAAAUUAACUGACAAAACAUUUAAUAAUAACGCUUUAGCAUUUGCCUAAUUUGGCAAUAAAGCACUUUAAUCUUAUUUGCUUAUAGAUUUGAUUAGGGUUUAUAUAUAUAAGAUAUAUCAAUUGUUUUGUUUAGGAUAAUUGAUGAAUAUUUAUAAACUAUAUUAAUAAAUAUGAUUGUUAGACUCUUUUUUAUUAAUGAAUAAUUUGUUCUAACUAAACUUGUAGAUGUUGGAGAAGGAAGUAUUUUGGACGUGAGUUCAAUUCUCACCGGCUCCACCA